AACUUCAUAGUCAGGAAAGGUGUUCACUGAGAAGUGAACAAAAUAGGGAAACCGGUAAAAGUCCGGUGCGGUCCCGCCACUGUAAGGGUGAGUCCGGUUCGACACCACUGAACAUAUAUGUUUGGGAAGGUGAACCAUGGACAAUGAUCCUAAGCCAGGAGACCUGCCUUUCCUGUUGUUCGACC
RNAcentral lists this non-coding RNA (185 nucleotides) under Paenalicyclobacillus ferrooxydans. The record is from RNAcentral. RNAcentral also lists the same sequence under 1 other name. Lineage: Bacteria; Bacillati; Bacillota; Bacilli; Caryophanales; Alicyclobacillaceae.